UGCGAUUGGGGAAUUAUUACAUGCUUACAUAGAAUCCAUCUGACAAAGUCUGGCAGAUAUAUCAAACUUCUUUUGCGUACAAAAAUCAUUCGUACAAUCUAAUUAAAUAACUUUCAGCUUUCAAUAUGAUUCACAUAUUUCUACCAAAUUCGAGCUGAACCAUGAAUACUCUCCGGCGUCUAUAUCUCCACAUCAUUCUCUAUCUUUUUAUUUGUUCCGGUAAUUUUAUAUUUUUCAUUUUUACUAUAAAAGAAAACUGUAAGUAGUAGUACCUUAUCAUAGAUAACAUAUCUCUAUUGGUGGACGCAAUACUAAAAUUUUCUUUUAAGAAUGCAAAAUUUGAAGUUCGCUCAGUGCGCAUUAUAUAUUAGAUCCAUAGAAGAAUGGUGAGUAAUAUCAAAAAAGGUUUACGAUUAUAACUACCCAAAAACGCAUGAUUUGAUUAGAACACUCGGGAAGAAGAAUCAAAGAAAGUGGAUGCGGGUCAAAAGUGCAGGUGCGUUUUUGGGUAGUAAAGAGAAAUGGGAAAAGAGGGCAACAGAUCCAAAUGGUCAUCUAAUCAGUAAUCACCCUCUAGCAACUUCAUUUCCACACAAACUUUUGGGCCUACACCUUUCUUUGUCUUUUUUUUUUCUUCCUUUCUUUUGGUUGUAAAUGGCAUUUUAGCAAUUUUGUAGUUUCAUAUCUUUAUACAAACAUUUGGAGAGGAGGAAAAGGUCAAACAAUAUUUACAUAAUCACAAGGUAAUUGAUUGUUGGAUUAUAUGCACUCUAAAGCACUAUCCUAUCAUUGGGUUUUGGUUCAUUCAACAUAUCUUUGGAUUAUCAGAAAACUUCAAUCCGUAAUCUUUCUAAACCCACGUCAUUUAAUAUUAG
RNAcentral lists this long non-coding RNA (875 nucleotides) under Brassica rapa (field mustard). RNAcentral's name for it is "long non-coding RNA (BRAP_LNC003129)". The record is from RNAcentral. Lineage: Eukaryota; Viridiplantae; Streptophyta; Magnoliopsida; Brassicales; Brassicaceae.